CCAUGCAUGUCUAAGUACAUGCCGUAUUAAGGCGAAACCGCGAAUGGCUCAUUAAAUCAGUUAUGGUUCCUUGGAUCGUACCUUACUACUUGGAUAACUGUGGCAAUUCUAGAGCUAAUACAUGCAGCAGAGCUCCGACCUUCGGGAACGAGCGCUUUUAUUAGACCAAAACCAAUCGGACCUCGAGUCCGUUUACUGUGGUGACUCUGUAUAACUUUGGGCUGAUCGCACGGGCCCGUCCCGGCGACGUAUCUUUCAAGUGUCUGCCUUAUCAACUUUCGAUGGUAGGUUACGCGCCUACCAUGGUCGUAACGGGUGACGGGGAAUCAGGGUUCGAUUCCGGAGAGGGAGCCUGAGAAACGGCUACCACAUCCAAGGAAGGCAGCAGGCGCGCAAAUUACCCACUCCCGGAACGGGGAGGUAGUGACGAAAAAUAACAAUACGGGACUCUUUUGAGACCCCGUAAUUGGAAUGAGUACACUCUAAAUCCUUUAACGAAGUCCAUUGGAGGGCAAGUCUGGUGCCAGCCGCUGCGGUAAUUCCAGCUCCAAUAGCGUAUAUUAAAGUUGUUGCGGUUAAAAAGCUCGUAGUUGGAUCUCAGUUCCAGACGGGUGGUCCGCCUACCGGUGGUUACUGCCUGRUCUGAACAGCCAGCCGGUUUCUCUUGAUGAUCUUCACCGGUUGUCUUGGGUGACCGGCAAGUUUACUUUGAAUAAAUUAGAGUGCUCAAAGCAGGCGUGACGCCUGAAUAAUGGUGCAUGGAAUAAUGGAAUAGGACCUCGGUUCUAUUUUGUUGGUUUUCGGAACACGAGGUAAUGAUUAAGAGGGACAGACGGGGGCAUUCGUAUUGCGACGCUAGAGGUGAAAUUCUUGGACCAAGAAUGUUUCCAUUAAUCAAGAACGAAAGUUAGAGGUUCGAAGGCGAUCAGAUACCGCUCUAGUUCUAACCAUAAACGAUGCCAGCCAGCGAUCCGGCUGUGUUCCUCAAAUGACACGCCGGGCAGCUUCCGGGAAACCAAAGCUUUUGGGUUCCGGGGGAAGUAUGGUUGCAAAGCUGAAACUUAAAGGAAUUGACGGAAGGGCACCACCAGGAAUGGGGCCUGCGGCUUAAUUUGACUCAACACGGGACAACCCACCAGGUCUGGACACAGGAAGGAUUGACAGAUUGAGAGCUCUUUCUUGAUUCUGUGAGGGGUGGUGCAUGGCCGUUCUUAGUUGGUGGAGUGAUUUGUCUGGUUGAUUCCGAUAACGAGCGAGACACUAGCCUGCUAAAUAGACGCUGAGAUCAUCUAUGUCUCACGAUCUUCUUAGAGGGACAAACGGCGUUUAGCCGCACGAGACAGUGCAAUAACAGGUCUGAGAUGCCCUUAGUUGUCCUGGGCCGCACGCGCGCCACAUUGAAGGAAUCAGCGUGUGCUUUCCCUGUCCGACAGGAUUGGGUAACCCGUUGAAACUCCUUCGUGCUGGGGAUAGGGGCUUGUAAUUGUUCCCCUUGAACGAGGAAUUCCCAGUAAGCAUGAAUCACUAGUUCGUGCUGAUCGAGUCCCUGGCCUUUGUGCACACCGCCCGUCGCUAUUUCCGAUUGAAUUAUUUAGUGAGGUCUUCGGACUGGCGCUCGGAGCGGCCUUUGCGGGUCAUUUCGGCGUGCCGGAAAGAUGACCGAACUUGAUUAUUUAGAGGAAAUAAAAGUCGUAACAAGGUUUCC
This 1705-nucleotide ribosomal RNA is filed under the name Vytfutia sp. 1 HMW-2012. RNAcentral's name for it is "SSU rRNA". It matches the Rfam family "Eukaryotic small subunit ribosomal RNA". Lineage: Eukaryota; Metazoa; Arthropoda; Arachnida; Araneae; Phyxelididae. The record is from RNAcentral.